GGGCUCACACAAGCGGUGGAGGAUGUGGCUUAAUUCGAGGCUACGCGAAGAACCUUAUCCUAGAUUUGACAUGCUUGAGAGUCUCUAUGAAAGUAGAGAGUGCCCUUCGGGGAGCUCUUGCACAGGUGCUGCAUGGCUGUCGUCAGCUCGUGUCGUGAGAUGUCGGGUUACGUCCCUUAACGAGCGAAACCCUUAUCUCUAGUUGCCAGCGGGUAAUGCCGGGGACUCUAGAGAGACUGCCGGUGUCAAACCGGAGGAAGGUGGGGAUGACGUCAAGUCCUCAUGGCCUUUAUAUCCAGGGCUACACACGUGUUACAAUGGGGGUCACAAAGGGCAGCGAAACGGUGACGUGGAGCGAAUCCCAAAAAAGCCCUCUCAGUUCGGAUCGCAGUCUGCAACUCGACUGCGUGAAGCUGGAAUCGCUAGUAA
Molecule: ribosomal RNA, 429 nt
Filed under: uncultured bacterium
Lineage: Bacteria
Description: bacterial SSU rRNA
Rfam family: Bacterial small subunit ribosomal RNA
Source: RNAcentral